This 435-nucleotide ribosomal RNA is filed under the name uncultured bacterium. RNAcentral's name for it is "partial 16S ribosomal RNA". It matches the Rfam family "Bacterial small subunit ribosomal RNA", at positions 29 to 507 of the family's 1533-position model. The record is from RNAcentral.
AGCGAACGCUGGCGGCAGGCUUAACACAUGCAAGUCGAGCGGGCACUUUCGGGUGUCCGCGGCGGACGGGUGAGUAACGCGUGGGAACGUGCCCCCUGGUUCGGAAUAACUCAGGGAAACUUGAGCUAAUACCGGAUACGCCCUGUUGGGGAAAGGCUUGCUGCCGGAGGAUCGGCCCGCGUCUGAUUAGCUAGUUGGUGAGGUAACGGCUCACCAAGGCGACGAUCAGUAGCUGGUCUGAGAGGAUGAUCAGCCACACUGGGACUGAGACACGGCCCAGACUCCUACGGGAGGCAGCAGUGGGGAAUAUUGGACAAUGGGCGCAAGCCUGAUCCAGCCAUGCCGCGUGAGUGAUGAAGGCCUUAGGGUUGUAAAGCUCUUUUAUCCGGGACGAUAAUGACGGUACCGGAGGAAUAAGCCCCGGCUAACUUCGUG